This 750-nucleotide ribosomal RNA is filed under the name uncultured archaeon. RNAcentral's name for it is "bacterial SSU rRNA". It matches the Rfam family "Archaeal small subunit ribosomal RNA", at positions 102 to 856 of the family's 1478-position model. The record is from RNAcentral.
GGACAACCUACCCAAGAGUCAGGGAUAACCCCGGGAAACUGGGGAUAAUACCUGAUAGGCCACGACAUCUGGAAUGAGUCGUGGUUUAAACGUAAGGCUCUUGGAUGGGUCUGCGGCGGAUUAGGUUGUUGCCGGUGUAACGUACCAGCAAGCCUGUAAUCCGUACGGGUUGUGGGAGCAAGAGCCCGGAGAUGGAUUCUGAGACACGAAUCCAGGCCCUACGGGGCGCAGCAGGCGCGAAAACUCUACAAUGCAGGCAACUGCGAUAGGGGAACAUCGAGUGGCACCCACCAUGGGUGUCUGUCCAGCCGUCUAAAAAACGGCUGUUAGCAAGGGCCGGGCAAGACCGGUGCCAGCCGCCGCGGUAAUACCGGCGGCUCGAGUGGUGGCCGAUAUUAUUGAGUCUAAAGGGUCCGUACCGGCUUUGCAAGUCCCCUGGGAAAUCCAGCGGCUUAACCGUUGGGCUUUCAUGGGAUACUACAUUGCUUGGGACUGGGAGAGGUAGGAGGUACUCAGGGGGUAGGGGUGAAAUCCUGUAAUCCUCUGGGGACCACCGGUGGCGAAGGCGUCCUACCAGAACAGGUCCGACGGUGAGGGACGAAAGCUAGGGGCACGAACCGGAUUAGAUACCCGGGUAGUCCUAGCCGUAAACGAUGCUCGCUAGGUGUCACGGCAGUCGUGAAUUGUCGUGGUGCCGUAGGGAAGCCGUGAAGCGAGCCACUUGGGAAGUACGACCGCAAGGUUGAAACU